This 1200-nucleotide long non-coding RNA is filed under the name Papio anubis (olive baboon). RNAcentral describes it as "lncRNA (ENSPANG00000039661.1)". The record is from RNAcentral. Lineage: Eukaryota; Metazoa; Chordata; Mammalia; Primates; Cercopithecidae.
AUGGGCCCCGGGGAGGAGAAACUGAGGAAGGGGAGGAAGUACGUGCUGCGGAAGGAGAAGAAGUGCGUGGGAGAGAGUCUACGUGUGCCUGCGGGUGGCCGGUGUAGCUGCGCCCGUGACUCACAGCAGUGGCCUCUGAGAGUGACGGCGACUGACAAACAGGUGAGCCUACGACACAAUCAAUCCCUCCCUCCCUCCCUCCCUCCCGGGGUCCGUGACUCACCGCGCCUCCUUGUUCGCUCAUCCCUCCACUCCCUCCCUGACCCCCACCGGCCGGGGGCGCCCGGCACACGCCGCAGCUCCCGCAGCCUCCCCAAGGGGGGAGCCCGAGGAGGAAGGCGACAAAUGUCACCUGCUCCGGCCACGCGAGGAACUUCUGAAAAGUUCUCAGGCAACUGGGUCAAAAGGAAACUCGCCCGCGGACGCACGCCCCCGUCGCCUUGCCGCUCGCGCGCAAGCCCUGCUCUGCCCCACUCGCGCAGAGCUCGGGGAGCCGUGACUUCUCUCGGGGUUACCGCGGCGGGCGGGGGAGGGGAGCAGAAAACCUGCGACUCCCGCUGGCCGGACCCCCGGUCCCCGACUCCGGCCGCGGCACGCCGUCAAAGCCGGGCAGCUCCCGCCCCCGCGCCCGCUCAGGGUGCUGAGGAGAGAACCGCAGGAGGCAGGAGCGGCAGUGCCACUCGCGCUGAACGCCCCCUCCCCAAAGUCCCGUCCUGCCGGGCCCAAGGCCCUUCGGCGCUCACCUGCAAUCCGGACGCUCGCGGAGGACAACGACGCGACCCGCGUCCCGGUGGGGGACGCCCCCAGCGCCGCGACUCUGUGCGCUCGGCCCGGCAGCCGUCGGUCCAGCAGCCCCUAGCUCUGCGCGUCCGGCAGCGGCGGCGGCGGCGGGAGACUGGCUGCGCCCAGCCCCGCCCGCCGCUCCGCCCUCCUCGUCAGUGGAAAACUCCGGGGCUCACUGCGCUGACGCACGCCGGGCCUCCAGCCAGGCCGCCCGGCAGCCCCGCCCCGGAGGCGCCGCCUCCUCCCCCGCCUGGAGCCUGGCGCAGCGGCCUGGGGGCCUCCCUGCGGACUCUGACCCGGCGACUGCGCCUCCGCCGCUCUCCGCCCCCAGCCCUCUCCCGCCAGAGCCCUCCCCGCCCCGCUUCCAGCACCGUCCCUAAAGGCGCGGACGACUCAAGCUGGCAGAGCCGGGAGUAG